UUUUCAUCACUUUGAAAAGAAUAGACUCUUUUAUUGACUCUAUCUUUUUUAAUAAUUCAGGGCCAUCAUUAUUAACAUCAAGCUUGCAUUAUGCUGGAAUGUAGUGGUACCCUUUGGACUUCAUUAAACAUGCAUCCAUGUUUACUCCAGUAAUAAGUGGCUUAAGACAAGAGCAUUUUUCAACCUUUCUGGAGAGACAUGGUGGUUCCAUCUCCCACUUCUAUAUUCUGUCUCCUCCUGUGCUGCCAUAUGUCACUUCUUACAGAGUAUGACUUCCUAGAUAAGCAGCCCUUCCCUUCCCUCAUUCAAGACUCUUAAUUGGUAAAGCAUGUAACCAAGGUUGUUAGAGCUGUAUAGACAUAGGCUAUGAAUAGAAGACUGGAGCGUUGUCCUUUGAGAAAAAUACAUGAUUUUUAGUGCAUGGACCAUUUUCACAGAAUGAAGCAAUUCAUUUUUAAUCCUCUGAUUUUCAGCUUUGUAAUGGAUUAAUUUGGUUUGCUGCAUAACUCAAUUCCAAACAGAUUAGAUGUUAUUUUGUUACAUGUACAAAGAUCUGCUAUAGAGAGGCUAUAAAAUAACACUAUCACUACAGUACUUGCCAAAAAUAUCUAUUACUUCAGCUAUUAGUGGAAGACAGCCCCAUUUUGGGGGAUCUGGAAGUCUGAAAGUAUCACCCUGAGAAAUUUUGUCUGAAGAAUCUCUUGGUCUCACUAGUUGUCAGACUCGCAGGUAGUGCAUCUAGUUGCUCUCUUAGUUGGUAAUUUUUUUUCUUUCAUUCCAUAUUAAGUAUCAGCAGUUGGAAGAGAUGAAGGAAAUACAGAUGAUUCUCGCAGAAGUUUUUUUAAAAGAUUAUUUCAUCCUCCUCCAAUUUUGUUUUUCAAAAUAAUUCAGACAUGGUUAAAAAAAAAUAACCUUUUCUGUGUGUCACGCAAAGUAAGCUUCAGAAAGCACUGAUAAUAGAAUUAGUGACUGAAUUCAGGAAUAGAUUUGGUUAAAUGCCAUGUUUUCCACAUUGAAGAAUCAGACACUAAGCUUAUUUUCAAGAGUAGCUAGGAACUAUUCUAUGUCAAUGAGAGGCUUAUAAAAUAAGGACCAUACCUAUUUAGUUGCUAUCACUUCCUUCCAUAAUAUAUAUAGUAAAGGAAAUCUUAGUUGAAUGGUAAGACACCUCACAAGUUACUAUUUACCAUGGUAACUGUAUUAUGGUUCAGGAUCUGACCAUCAGAAAUUUGACUCCCUCAGCAUAUAAAGAGUAGUUAUUUCUUUUUUUUUUUUUCUUUUCUUUUUUUUUUUUUUUUUGCUGCGGGGGUUGGGGAGAGGAGUGGAGGAAUCUUGGAUUACACUAACCAAGGUAGCAGAGAUGGAUAGGUAAACCAGAAUUUUAUUUACUGUGAGAAAUAAAAUGACCGUGAAGGCUAGAAUGCUUGUUUCCCUAUAUACAGGUAGUCUCUUGAUUCUGUAGUCAAGCCAAAUUACCAGAUUGAAAAAAAAAAAAAAAAAAAAA
RNAcentral lists this long non-coding RNA (1504 nucleotides) under Macaca mulatta (Rhesus monkey). RNAcentral's name for it is "lncRNA (ENSMMUG00000051464.1)". The record is from RNAcentral. Lineage: Eukaryota; Metazoa; Chordata; Mammalia; Primates; Cercopithecidae.